This 88-nucleotide transfer RNA is filed under the name Chloroflexota bacterium. RNAcentral describes it as "Chloroflexi bacterium (hot springs metagenome) tRNA-Leu". It matches the Rfam family "tRNA". From Rfam's summary of the family: Transfer RNA (tRNA) molecules are approximately 80 nucleotides in length. Their secondary structure includes four short double-helical elements and three loops (D, anti-codon, and T loops). Lineage: Bacteria; Bacillati; Chloroflexota. The record is from RNAcentral.
GCCGAGGUGGCGGAACGGUAGACGCGGCGGACUUAAAAUCCGCUUCCCUGGGAAGGGAGUGUGGGUUCGAGUCCCUCCCUCGGCACUA